UUGUGUCGCCCGGUUAUUUUCCUUCCCUUUCACUUCUCUCUCUUUCGUCUCCCUCUAGCGAGUUCAGCGCGGCGGCGGAGAGCUCCUGUGGCACGUCGGCGCUGGGUUGCGCGGGCUGCAGCAUGGAUCCUCCAUCUGUUCUCCCUCGGCUGGUGAUUUGGAGCUAUAGCCUGGCUCCAGCUCCUUGCCGGCAACCUGCUCAAUGCCCCUUUAGUUCUGUUCUAGGCUGGGUGCUGAGUGUCGUGUCCUCUCCAGCUUUUGGCGCACGAGACAAGCAGAGCUGGGCGCUAGUGCAGGGGGUGCCUAGGCAGCGCGCGUACACCAAGGCAACAAGCAGCAGGCAUCUAGCGCCAGGUGCAGGAGCAGGCAAGAUUUGGUUUUCCCUGUGUUGUCGUUCCUUCCCUUCCCUCUCUGUUCUUGCAGAGCACAAAGGAUCUACCGAAACAGCAAGCAGAGCAAGGCAGCCAGCGACACAGCAGGCACGCAGCAGCACCGUGGCGAUUUGCAGGAUUUGUGGAGCACACAGCCCAGCAGGAGCAGCGAGCGACUAACAGCACCACCUCCACCGUGUAGACAAGGUGUUCGACGGUUUGCCCCAGCAGGUCGAGAAACAAGGUAACAAGCCAGCAGCUGGCAGGUGGCCAACAGGCCUUGCACGGGGACCAAAGAGAGAGCGGGCACGAUCAGCCUGGAGAAGCUGUGCAGAUCAGGAGCUGUGCAGCCAGGAGAAGGCUCGGUUUGCAUUUUUCUCUUUGCUCACAUGAUUAGACUUGUCAAUUAGCUUGUGUUAAUUAAUCUUUGCUUUUGCUAAUGCUUGUUAGCCUUUGCAUGCUUUUUAGUAGUAAGCUAAUUAACUGAGGUUGCUAGCUCUAUUCCUUUUGGAAAAGCUCCAUCGGCACUUUAGUAAAUCUCUUCCUUUUGGAAAAGCUCGAUCGGCACUUUAGUAAAUCUCAACUUCCCCUUUGUGCCAAGCUUUCGGUGUUUUGGUCAACCUCGGCUUCUGCUUUGUAUUGUGCCUUUCUUGAGUGAAUCGCUAUCUGCUUACAUGCGCUUUGCGUCGAGAUUUUCCUAACCGUUCCUAGGGUGAACUCGUCAUGUGUUGGCGUGUGUCGCUUUGGCGGUUAGAAGAGAGGUGUGUCGGGUUGAAAUCGGGACAUAGGCCUCGUUUUCUCGGAGAAUUUUUAUUGGCUCUCAUUCACCCCCCCUCCCCCCUUUUGGUCGCCUGUCCGGUCCUUCAGCUUUUCAGGCAGCCCCCUGUUGCAACCAGCCAGCUAGAAAGUCUGAAAAUGAAAUAUAAUCCUAGGAACACUACACCAUAUCCGUAAUGUAAAAUCACUAUCCCUAUUUAAGUAGAAGUUAAUGUGAGGUUGAACUUUAUAAGCUAUUACGUGAGGCAAUUUCCAAUGAAAUAUAACCAUUUUGACUUUUGUUAGCACGUCUAUGCAAAAUGUACUGUUAGAGGUUUGAAGUAGGACUGGUUUCUAAAUCGUAUGAUCCCUUUUAUGUUGUACAUUGCAUAUGGUGCCUCUAUGUAGUGCUUCUACUUUGUCUUAUCUUUCUUAUCUAAAAUUGGGUGUCCAUAUAUUUAGCUAAAAUUGACACUGCCUAAAAUUUAAUUCAUAAUCUUAAUCAUAAUGAAUUCUAUCUCUUACCAUCUGAGUUUUACUGUCAUUUGUGCAUAAGAGAACUAUGAGAUCCUUGAUCUGUAUUUUUCACAGUAUUUAUAGUGUUAUUUUUUCAUUUGUAAUUUCAAAGAUAAUGUAUGUGGCCCAUUUGCCUGUGCUUCUACUUUCACUAUUAUUUUUGUGUUGGUGCUGGAAGGGUGUUCGUUUAUCCUGCUGGUUCUUAUUAUAGUUAUUAUAUGUGCCCUUACUUAUUGUAUUGUGUGUUCCUUUGUUCCUUUUUCACCUAAGUGGAGAUACAAAAAUCACUCCACCUCCAAUGCAAGGGCCAGGUUACUUUCUUUUGCAAGCAAGGUAUUUUUCAAUUUUGUUUCUUGAUUAUAGUUUAAACAUGUUAUAGUUACACAUAAUUAUUUUGUUGUAACUUAUGUUCAUGCUCGUUGUAAAUUUUUAUAUUGAGGGGUAUAAUCAAUCCUCUUUUAUUCAGUAUUGGGUAGCAUAUGUUCAUAUAUGCAUCUAUGUGGACUUUAUGUUUGGUAUAUAACUCAUGCCUUUUCUUAGGAUGUGACGAUGUGUUGCUCUUUUUUUGGACAUUUAUCUGUUAUUUGUUGUGUGACGCUACUUUGUGGUAGUUGAACUUCUUUUUUAUUUCAAUUAGAGCUGCUUAAUACUAUACUUACAACAUAGAUUUUAGCCUAUCUUGUGUAUGGUCACUGUAAUUUAAAAAAACAUGUGUACAACUUAUAACAAUCCUUUUUAUUCAUUUUGCAGCAACCAUUUCUUGCUACUAUGCAUCUCUAUUGCCACUUCUAUGUGGUUUUUCUUUUAUACAAAUCUGAUUUCAUAUGUCUGUCUUCAUGUGUCACAUUGGGCUAACUCUGAAUAUUUUUUUUAAAAAACUCUGAGCAUGUUGUUAAUUGAUUUAGUUCUGAGUUUCUAGUUUCUCCAUUUGUUUGUUUGAUUAAGUUGAACUCUUGUUUUUGUAGCAACGAUAGCCUGCAAGUUAACUUUGUACUAACUACUAAAAAUGAGUGGCCAAUUGAUAAAGCUAUUUACAAGGAUAUGAAACUCAUGUUUAUCGGCUGGGAAUAUCUUUGAACCAGUAAUGUCAGUUUCAGUUAAUAAAGUUGGUAGACCUUUUUUACUUCUCUAGAUCUUGGUAUUUCUUAUAGUCUAAAACAGUAACUGAGCUGGCUCUCAAACAUUUGCACUGAACUUUAUGCAUUAGUUUUCCACCCUACUUUGAUUGAGUAGCUCUCUGAUAGUCAGUACUCGUGUCGUCAAGAAGUGGGUCUCAUGAGGUCACUUAAAAGGCUCAAUCUACAUGGAUCUCCUUCACAGGAGGUCUGUCUCUGAUUAUUUGGUAACUUGGUUCCGCUAGGCGCUAGGCGGAUUCUAGGCGGUGACCUGCAGCCUAGAGCCUAGUCGGGAUUAAUCGAGCCUAGGCGUUCCUAGGCGUUUUUCUAGGCGUUUUGCCAAUUUAGGCAAAACUGAUAUAUAUUAUGUAUAUAUAGCCAAAAAUAGCAAAAAAUGCUGAAUAUAUAGGUUGCAGUAAAUAACUAAAAUACUAAAUAUAAAAAAAUGACCACUGGACAUACCUGAUUCCUUCCAAUGGGCUUAGUCUUGCAUAUUCCUUCCUCCUACAACACAUUUGAAUAAUUUCAGCAAGCAGUUCAUAAGAAAAAAAGAAAGCAGUAAGAUGUCACUUCCUCUGUUUCAUUUUCAGGUGCAGCUGCAGCUUCUGUAGACAUCCUAUACAUUUAGGCAAUGCAAACAACCAAUGCAAACAGAUUCAUACAUGCAUAUUCAUAUUCAAACAAUCAGACAAUGAAAUCAGAUUCACUAAUCAUUCAUUCAGAUUCAGUUUAUCAGCAGAGUAGAGGAACAGAGGAGGGGACAGUGGAGCAGAGGAGGGGACAGUGGAGCAGGGGAGGGUAGCAGGUGGACGGGGAUGAGAGGGGAGCUCUGAGGGGAGCAGCCGCAAAUCGGCAGGGGAGGGGGAUGGGAGGGGAGCUCUGAGGGGAGCAGCCGCAAAUCGGCAGGGGAGGGGGAGAGGAGAGGAGAGGAGCAGGUAGGGGGGCGAGCAGCCGCCGGGAUAGGGGAGACGAGCAGGGAAGUGGAACUCACCUUGAGGACGAGCAGAGGUGUAACAUCCCAGUUUUCAUCACGAUUAAGGGGGAGUGUUGAAAUAUAUAAUGCAAACUCCUAGAAGGUUCUAUAAAAAUAAGAAUAAACCAUGGCAUAAUUUUAUUCACCAUGACAAGGUUCUAGAAUGUUCCACAAGAAUCAUAAGAAGACAUGAAGCUUGGAUAUUUUCUUGUCAUGGUAAAAUUUAGAAUUUUUUAGAAAUAGAUAUUUGUAGGGAACUUAGAUAUUUGUAGAGAACUUCCUACAGUGUGACAUGUGUCACUCAUUCAAGAGGGUAUGGGUGCCUAUAUAAGGAGGGUGACACCCCUUGCCCUGCCAUACUACUCCACUCCAUCCCACACAUCCAAGGGCAUGGUAGAAGUGAGCAUAGGUAGAGUGUGCUAGGUGUGUGUUCCUUUGUUGCUCCAAUAAGGUAAGCGUCUUUAUAAGUGUUAGUCUCCCGGUUAAGCUUAGCACUUAGUGUAUAAGUUGUGAUCCAUCGAAGGUUGGCUCUGUCACUCGGGAUCACAAAAGGGUCUGGGCUUCAUCGAAGGUUGGCUCUGCCACCCGGAAGCCAGCUUCAUCUGUUGGUAGGCUCUGCCUCCCGGAAGCAAAAGGCGGCUUUCCGUCAAAAGGACCCGGUACACUAAGUAACUAGAAGCUAACCGACUCUGAAGUGAGUUGGUGUAGAUCCUCAACUUAGUAGGGCCACCUCAAUUUCCAACAAUCACUAAAAUAAAACUUAUGUUGCAAUUAAACUAGUAACAUAAAAUAAUACUAACGUUAUACGAAGUAUUACAUAACUACUAGGUAAACUGUUUUAUACUCUUGCCUUGCGUUAGUACAUUCGUUCCCUCCAAUAACCAGCAUAUGCAUGCUUGCACCUACGACAAAAAUCAUCUCGUCUCUUUCCAUAAAAGCCUCUCGAGUCACCGUACCAUGCCAUAAUUCACAGACAAUCAUGACAGCGCCUAUCUCCUUUGCCAUAACUUCAUCAUUCCCUGGAAGCCACAGAAUACCCACACCAUUACACCAUUGACCUUGAAAUGACCCGUCAUGGCAGCACCCACCUCGCUAUAAAUCGGGGUCGCCACGCACAGUGCCGGCCGAGAUUUUUUCCGCCGAACCGCCUCACCCGCUCACUCUCGCUGCGCACGCGCGACACGCCGGCCCCACGACGAGACCGCGCACUGCCGCCGGCACCACGCCGUGCCGCCCACCUCCGCGUCCCCACCUCGCCCACGCCGCUGCAGCGUCCUCGCCGGCUUUGCCGCCUCGACGCUCGCGCCUUCAGCGCUGCCACUGUUCGCGUUGACGACGAGCUGCCGCAGCCCACGCCGUCGCCCGUCCCUGCGCGACACCGCUGCUGCUCUCCUCGCCUAUAAAAGGAGCGAGGCCGUGACGAGCCCCGUCACCAGCCCAAGCACACCAAGCCGCUUCGCUCCGCCAGCUGAACCACUCCUCCCGAGCCCAGCUCACUAACGAGACGAAGCUCCAACAAUUGGCUCUCUUCCUCGAGCUGUUCCGCGCCAAGGUGAGAUGGCAGGCAGCUCCCCCGACCAUUAACUCCACAACACUAAUAAUGGCCCAAAACACCCACCAGGCCGUGAGCACUUAAUCCAAAUCAUUCUACCAAUCAAUACUGUAAACUCAAUAUCUCCUUCAUAUCAACUCCUUUUCACGUAACUCUUUUUCCUUAACUCUCCUCAAAUCAUAUACUAUCUAUUCCUCCUAUUUUCAUCUCCAUUUGAGCUUAUUUUAUUGAUUGCUUGUGUUUGUUUACCGGUUGUGCCGUUUUCGCCCGUAGAUCACGGAGUGACCGAGGAGGAGCCUGAAGACCCGUACCACGAGCAGGAAGCCGCCGCCGCCGACGCGUACGCAAGCGAAGGCAAGUUUCAUCGACCCCUACGUGAGCGGUUGCAUCCAUGUGAGGACGUUUAGCUGUAGCCUGGGUCUAGGAUCGAUUACAUAUACCAGUACUUGAGUGAUUGAGUGUGCUCAUGCAUGCAUCUUAGUAGUCAUGCAUAUCCAGAGCUGAGAAUAGGAUACGAAGGGAUCUGGCUGAGACCAGGGCAGCUGGGUAUGCUGGAGCCGGCGCUACCGUGGUGGUAGACUGGCAGGUGAGUGCUACCGUGGUGGUAGGCUCGAAUUGACAUGUUGAGGGAUGGUUGCUGCCCUGUUGAACCAUAAGGACCGAGUUGUUUUGACAUCUCACCUAGCUUACUUUAGUACGACCACAGGUUCCGGUAUGGGCCGGACUUAGCCUAAUCCCACUGGUUAGCCUGACGGUCGCAGGGAUGGUUUACGGGUAUAGACCAUUGGGGUCAGGGCCCGAGGGUUUGUGCGGCCGGGCUGGGGCGUGACCACGGCUGGGUGUCGGCUAUGUCGGUUGUCCGUUCGGGCAGCCGAGCGUGUGGGUACAGUGUACGACCUCUGCAGAGUGUAUAAUCCAUUCGAAUGGUCCGUGCCCACGGUAUGGGCAGGCUACGGUGUGCCAUGUUUUCAAGUCGUCCGAUUAAUCGCGAUUAAUCGCGAUUAAUCGCCCAGGUCGGUUCUCCAAGUCCGACCAGCACCACCGACCCGACCAGAGCGACCAGAAACCUGGUCGUCCGAUUAGUCGUCCACUAAUCGCGAUUAGUCGGUCGACCAGGGCAUUUCUCGACCAGGGCAGCAUGAAGGUUUCUCACUUUCUCCUAACAACUUCAUUUUUUUGUUUCAGCAGCAGGGAUUCAGCAAGAAGAAUAUGGAGUUUUGGACAAGAAGCUGGAGUUCUGGAGAGCAAAUAUCAAAAGUAAGUCACCAAAACCUGCAGAAUUGCUUGCUGUAUACUAUAUUGUAUAUAUAUAUAAUUAUAUAUACACUAUAUAGUAUAUACUGAACAUGUAGACAUAUGGACGAUUAGGGAACGACCAGGCUCGACCAGGCUCGACCAGGUCGACCUGGUCGUCGACUAAUCGCGAUUAAUCGCCUGGUCGGUCCCUAGGCGACCAGGACCGACCAGCCGAUUUGAAAACAUUGACGGUGUGGUCCUGACAACUAAUGAGCUACCUAAUGUGGGUUUUGUCGGGAAGAGUUGCAUACCAUUAGUUGCAUUGCUAAUGCAUUGUGCUCAAAGUGCGUCGUUCAUGUCAUUUCCCCUCCCGUAGGGUGAGGUGGAGCUUGCUGAGUACUUUUGUACUCACCCCUGUUGAUUUUUCUCCAGAGGAUCCUGAUUGUGCCAGAAGACUACGAGUAGAUCGUGUCCGCACCCAAGCUGAUCGAGUGAAGCCGUGAUGGAUGAAGAGCUAGUCCUCCAUGCCGUCAUGCUAGUCGUUAUCCUAUGGUUGUUCUGUGUUGUCGCUUUAUCCCUCGUGUACAUGUUGAAUAAAGCUCUGUAUGUCUCUGGACUCCACUUGAUGUAACAUGUAUUAUGCCGGAGACCCUAUUCGGUAAUUAAUACAUGGUUUAGCCUUGAUCUUCGGGUCGGGGCGCUUCAAGAGGAAGCAGCCGGCGGUGGAAGGGAGAGGAGCAGCUAGCGCCAUCGGGGACGAGGUGCUUCCAGGCGGGGAGGAGGUUGCCCUGCGGGAGGAGCUCGACCAGCAAGACCUCGUCCGGCGGCGUGAUUCUUGGUGAUGGUGCCGAGGUCGUCCGACCGGCAAAUGGCAGGCCCGCUCGAUUUCCCCUUCCCCUAUUCUUUCCGCUCGAUUUCGCACCGCUUAACUCUGUUGCGCGCGUGCGCCGGGCCGCCCCAUCCGCUAUCGCACGGGAAAUCGAGCGCGCUCGCGCCGCGGGGCCAAAUUUUGGCGGCAAUCAGCAGCGUGUCCGCCUCAGCGCCACCUCUCCCGCCUCCGCGCCGCCUGCGCUCCGCCUAAUCGCCGCCUAGCGCCCAGAAUGGCGCCUACCCCCCUAGGCCAGGCGAUGGGCUUCGCCUAGCGCCCAGAAUGGCGCCUACCCCCCUAGGCCAGGCGAUGGGCUUCGCCUAGCGAUUAAGCGCGCUCAGGCGCCGUCUAGGCGCCGCCUAGCGGAACACGGUUUGGUAAUGACAGAUUUUAUUUUGUGAACUAUAAAUGUGUAAAAUCAGUGUGUUUUCCUACUUUUGGUUAAUUGUGAUUGAAAUUCAUCUGAUGAACUACAAAAAUUGAGUGCAAAUUGUACCUGAACUUUUUAUUGUUGCAAUAUAAUUGAUCAUUUUUUCCUAUAGAGGACUGAGACUCUCAAUGACUCCCAAGUCCUAGGCCAUAUGUCAUUGUGAUUGUAUAGCGGUAAAUCCUCAAGUGCACCCAUAUUUUAAGUACAAGCUUAGAGCCUCGUAAAUUUUUUUAAUGGAUGUGUGGAUUUCCCAAUUAUGUUUACAUGCCGAUACUGGUUUAAAUUGAUUUGGCGAAUCUAAUGUAUGGCACUGUAUAUGCAACCAUCACCUGUAAUUGUUUACCUUUUCCUUUUGCCCUUAUAUGAUUUGUACCUUGCUAAUUAAACUGCUAGCUAUGUUUUCUGAAAAUUUGGGGAAUUAUAUUGUCAGAAUAUCCUUUUGCUGGGUAUAAAUCGGCCUUCCUUGAGUACUUUUGAAGUAAUCAGAGUGCUUAACAUCAUUUCUAUACUCACAUGAUUCCAUUGAUGCUGAUCAUAUAUGACAUGAUUAAAUUGAGUAGGAUACAGAACCUAGUGGUUUUUAGUGAAGCACGUAAUAAACUGUAGCUUGGUUUAUGUUGGUGUUAUUAGAAAUGGAUGAAACCAUUUCUUUUUAAACAUGAAUCAAGAAUGGUCUUGUUGUAUCUUCUUUUCUUUUCUCUGAAACAACAGGUUAGAUAUGCCUUGGGGUUGGGGUGGGAGGGAGGGAGAUAGCAUUUCUACUUCCUUUAGCAUAGUGGCCAAUAUAAACUUGCAUUUUGUACUGGCACACAAGUCUAAGCUAUCUUUGGCUCCACUUUUUAGAACUGUAUCAUCAAUCAUUUCUCUACCACUCUUAACUUUUCUAUCCUGUGUGUGCAAUACCAUUUUUGAACAAUGCUACAACUAUGAAAGCUUGCUGAUGUAUGUAAUUUUUUUUUCCAAACUGGAACAUAAAGUUGUUUUCCCAAAGCAGCAUGUGUAUAUGAAUUUUGACUAGUGUAAAAAAUUCCAUUGAUUAUACACAGUAAACAUCACUUACAUGGUUCCCACUACAUUUUCAGCAUGCAUUACAGUGUUAAUUUAUUAGGAUAAACUGUAAUAUUCAGGCUUAUCAGUACUCCAUUAUUGUUGUUGCGGAUGUGCCCCAUUAUAGUGUUUUGGCCGUGUUAUUGGAUAUGUGUACAAUUUUUUUACUAUUGUUAGGUUUGUUAGCAUUGUUUCCUGUACAACUUGGUCUGAAUGUAUAUCUAUGUGCUUCGCAGUUAUCUUCAAUUAUUUUUAAACAUAGAUCCUUUUCAAAUAACCUCUCUCACACACGCUCCCCCCCCCCCCCAACUCUAUCUCUCUUGCACACUGCACACAAUUUAUAUAACUAUAUAAUUAUUACCUAGUGCUAAUAAGUUUCUUCAGCAGGAUCAGGGGCAUGGGCUCAUCGUGGAAGGAGCUGAGUUAGGCCGUGCAUCCAUUGUAGGUUUUGAUGCCAGUUGAGGAGAUAUAUUUGUAUAUGAACUGGAUAGCUUCUUUCCUCACUCUCAUCUCUCGUUUCUCUCUCCUAAACCUCUUGCACAAGAUGGCUCGACGCCCCGUGGACUCGCAUGAUGGUCCUCAUCGAUCUAGCGGCUACUGCUGAGUAACAGGCCAGAUCUGGUGGCCGUCGAAGAAGAAUAAGCCUGAUCUGGUGUGUACAGCUGGCGUCCGCGUUCCCGGCAAGCAGCAGUAUGAAGUUUCGUACAACUGGGUGAGCCAGGGGUCUAAUACAUUUUGUCUCCAAGUAAUAUAAAACCAGUAAGAAGGUGUUUGCAACUAAGCCUAAGAUAUGAAAGUGUUUUGUCUUCUCUGAGUGUCUAAUUUGGGGUUUUCUUGUAGGUUUUGUCUGUUCAUAAUUGUCCGAUUGAGUUUUAUUGUGGCUUCAUUUGUUGAUUUUCCUGUAGGUUUCUAUCUGAUUUAUUACAGCGUAAAUAUAGUGGUGUUUCAGUUAAAUUUUUUUGUGGCAAAAUUAAUUAUGGUCUAUUUGUGUGUAA
Molecule: long non-coding RNA, 9859 nt
Organism: Panicum virgatum (switchgrass)
Lineage: Eukaryota; Viridiplantae; Streptophyta; Magnoliopsida; Poales; Poaceae
Exons: 3
Source: RefSeq, a predicted model, not a curated record